This 234-nucleotide long non-coding RNA is filed under the name Elaeis guineensis (African oil palm). RNAcentral describes it as "long non-coding RNA (EGUI_LNC008958)". Lineage: Eukaryota; Viridiplantae; Streptophyta; Magnoliopsida; Arecales; Arecaceae. The record is from RNAcentral.
AGCAGGCACAGUCCACGAUCCUUUAUCCCUACAAUAUUUUUUUAAGCUGCUAGCUACAAUGUUUUUAAUCUGUUGAUGUGCAUUACUGCAUUAGAUUUUGAAUAAGUGCUGACCAUAUUGAUUUAUUUGAACUAUUGGAUUAUAAGAAAAUAAUGGAGUCAGUGAAUACCACUAUUAAUAAUUUGGAUGAUGAUGAAGUUACGAAAAUUCUUUCCACUAAAAGCACUAAAAGAG